This 227-nucleotide unclassified non-coding RNA is filed under the name Glomeraceae sp. RNAcentral's name for it is "partial contains 5.8S ribosomal RNA and internal transcribed spacer 2". The stretch from base 1 to 71 matches the Rfam family "5.8S ribosomal RNA", at positions 84 to 154 of the family's 154-position model. The record is from RNAcentral. Lineage: Eukaryota; Fungi; Glomeromycota; Glomeromycetes; Glomerales; Glomeraceae.
GUGAAUCAUCAAAUCUUUGAACGCAAAUUGCGCUUCCUGGCAUCCCGGGAAGUAUGCCUGUUUGAGGGUCAGUAUGAAUAAAAAAUCGUUUUAGUUACACAUGGUGACGUUGCCGGGGUUUGGGCUAUCUUAACAUUUUUGGUUAAGAGGCUUAAAAUUGACCUUUUUUGCGCAUUUUUAUGCGAACAUAAAUUUUUUUUAUUCGUCUAUUCUUAUUCCCAAAAUCU